This 299-nucleotide long non-coding RNA is filed under the name Citrus sinensis (sweet orange). RNAcentral's name for it is "long non-coding RNA (CSIN_LNC004993)". Lineage: Eukaryota; Viridiplantae; Streptophyta; Magnoliopsida; Sapindales; Rutaceae. The record is from RNAcentral.
UCAAUUGUAACUCCUUGUACUGUGAUACAUAUCACUACACGUAAUAACACAACCGUGAGCCUAGCUGGAUCUUGUGAGACUUGAAUUCUUCUGCCAUAGUCAGUUUAACACAAAUAAGAGAAAAAAUAGCACAUUAAAAGUUACUUAAAAUUUAGAAGCAAAAAUAAAAUUCCAUGAAAGUUAUUAUGCACAACAUUUAAUAAAAUCUAUACUUGUCACAACAUUUAAUAAAAUUGACCGUUAUUAGCAUAUUAACCGUUAUUAGUCAAUGUGAGAUAUUAUCAUCAAUAAUGUGGACC